Molecule: ribosomal RNA, 354 nt
Filed under: Triticum aestivum (bread wheat)
Lineage: Eukaryota; Viridiplantae; Streptophyta; Magnoliopsida; Poales; Poaceae
Description: partial small subunit ribosomal RNA
Source: RNAcentral
AUGCAGACUACAGAGUGGAUACAAGCCUGCCUAGCUUACAACAUGCAGUUAAGACUACGACAACCCUCUCUCAGGCCCAGGUUGAUACAGGCAACAACACUGAACUCUGAGCCUCCCGAUUUGGGGGAAAACUGCAGACACUCUGUAGAGAACAAAAGCAUGGAUACUACAGAUUCCAACUAUAUAUAUAUUCACGAGCAAGAACCAGAAAUGCUCAAUCUAAUGCGGCUUCGAGCUGCUUCGGAGAAGUGCGACAUACCGACAGGCAAAACCAGCAGGAUGAGCGGUCGCUUCUUCCCACUGCAGAUCACACCACCAGCUCAAGAGUCUAGAGCAAAACUAGCAAACAUCUAA